This is a long non-coding RNA of Dreissena polymorpha, 263 nucleotides long. RefSeq lists it as uncharacterized. The record is from RefSeq and is a predicted model, not a curated record. The transcript is spliced from 3 exons. NCBI's taxonomy places the organism in Eukaryota, Metazoa, Mollusca, Bivalvia, Myida, Dreissenidae.
CUAAAGGGUCGCCUUUGUACGCCUGUAGAUACUUGCCGUUACGAGUGCCUUAUCUAGGGCGUUCGUACCAUAUGGCAUCAACCUCAAACAGUGGUUCAAAUCAAUGUAUGUAACCAUACUACACAAUCUCGUUUUCGACGCCGGAUGUAUCACACAAAUGCUUCGUCUUCUGCUUUCAUACGUCGUUGUAUUAAUUAUCCUCGUCGGAUCCAUUCAUGGGCAAAAUAGCAGCACAACGACUGUCCCGACGACAUUGCCAUCAA